This 26-nucleotide non-coding RNA is filed under the name Oryctolagus cuniculus (rabbit). RNAcentral also lists the same sequence under 1 other name. The record is from RNAcentral. Lineage: Eukaryota; Metazoa; Chordata; Mammalia; Lagomorpha; Leporidae.
AGAGAAACAAGCCGAGAAAGAAAUUA